CCUACGGGAGGCAGCAGUGGGGAAUAUUGGGCAAUGGGCGCAAGCCUGACCCAGCAACGCCGCGUGAAGGAAGAAGGCUUUCGGGUUGUAAACUUCUUUUGACAGGGAGGAGUAGAAGACGGUACCUGUCGAAUAAGCCACGGCUAACUACGUGCCAGCAGCCGCGGUAAUACGUAGGUGGCAGGCGUUGUCCGGAUGUACUGGGUGGAAAGGGCGUGUAGCCGGGUUGACAAGUCAGAUGUGAAAUCCUUCGGCUUAACCGGAGAACUGCAUUUGAAACUGUUGAUCUUGAGUACUGGAGAGGAAGACGGAAUGCCUAGUGUAGCGGUGAAAUGCGUAGAUAUUAGGAGGAACACCAGUGGCGAAGGCGGCCUGCUGGACAGCAACUGACGGUGAGGCGCGAAAGCGUGGGGAGCAAACAGGAUUAGAUACCCGGGUAGUC
This 442-nucleotide ribosomal RNA is filed under the name uncultured bacterium. Its description in RNAcentral is "partial 16S ribosomal RNA". It matches the Rfam family "Bacterial small subunit ribosomal RNA", at positions 338 to 795 of the family's 1533-position model. The record is from RNAcentral.